AAAUUGAAGAGUUUGAUCAUGGCUCAGAUUGAACGCUGGCGGCAGGCCUAACACAUGCAAGUCGAACGGUAACAGGAAGAAGCUUGCUUCUUUGCUGACGAGUGGCGGACGGGUGAGUAAUGUCUGGGAAACUGCCUGAUGGAGGGGGA
This 149-nucleotide ribosomal RNA is filed under the name Escherichia coli. Its description in RNAcentral is "partial 16S ribosomal RNA". It matches the Rfam family "Bacterial small subunit ribosomal RNA", at positions 1 to 143 of the family's 1533-position model. RNAcentral also lists the same sequence under 1 other name. Lineage: Bacteria; Pseudomonadati; Pseudomonadota; Gammaproteobacteria; Enterobacterales; Enterobacteriaceae. The record is from RNAcentral.